RNAcentral lists this ribosomal RNA (403 nucleotides) under uncultured bacterium. RNAcentral describes it as "partial 16S ribosomal RNA". It matches the Rfam family "Bacterial small subunit ribosomal RNA", at positions 30 to 526 of the family's 1533-position model. The record is from RNAcentral.
AUUGAACGCUGGCGGCAGGCCUAACACAUGCAAGUCGAGCGAGCGGCGGACGGGUGAGUAAUGUAUGGGGACUGCCCGAUAGAGGGGGAUAAAUACUGGAAACGGUAGCUAAUAACGCAUACUAUCGGAGACUCCCUAGGGGAUUAGCUAGUAGGUGAGGUAAUGGCUCACGUAGGCGACGAUCCCUAGCUGGUAUGAGAGGAUGAUCAGCCACACUGGGACUGAGACACGGCCCAGACUCCGACGGAGGCAGCCGUGGGGAAUAUUGCACAAUGGGCGCAAGCCUGAUGCAGCCAUGUCGCGUGUAUGAAGAAGGCCCUAGGGUUGUAAAGUACUUUCAGUCGGGAGGCGUUACCGACAGAAGAAGCACCGGCUAACUCCGUGCCAGCCGCCGCGGUAAUAC